GGCCCGCUGCACGGCGUCGGCGAAAGCGUCCUUGCGGAUCCCCGGGCCUCCCCCGCCGGGCGGCUGGGAGGGACCCCCGGCCGACCCCCCGCCGGGGCCGCCGCCGGGGCCGCCGCCGCCCCGGUCCCCCCGCACCCGGCGGGCCCGGCGGAGGGCCUCCCCCGGCGCCCCCGGCUCCCCCGGCUCCUCCGCCGCCGCCAGCGGGCGGCGGCGGCCCGGGCGGGGGUCCUCCCGUGCUGUAGUCCGACAUGGCGCGGCGGGGCCGGGCCUGGCGCGGAGGCUGAAGCUGAGGAGGCGGCGGCGGCGGCGGCGGCUCAACGCGGGAACAAGGCCUCGCUCCACACGGCCGCGGAGCACUCUGGGAACCCAGCGGCUGGGAAGACGACGAGGGGGGAGAGGGACGCCUCCUCCCGCCGCCGGCGUGACGGACGGCGCAGCCAGGCCAAUCGGAGGCGGCCGCCGCUCCUGGGACACCAAUCGCGGGCUCUGGAGGCAAGCGGCCAAUCGGAGUGCCGCGAGAGGCAGUGGGCGGGAGGCGCCGCGUGACCGACAGCUCUCGGAGGCAGUGGGCUUCGGGCUGCCGGUGCUGGGCGGGCAAAUCGAGGCGACCCGAGAGGACAGGAGGCCCAAUGAAGCGGGAGUUCCAGAACUACGGGGCGACUUCAGAACUGGAUUGACGACUCCGGAGAGUCAAGUGGACAGGAAGGAGGGACCUGGGGAAAGGCCCCUUUGAACAGGCUGGGCGGGCGCCAGGUUGUCUCCACGUCCACCAUUUCACCCUGAAGCCAGGACAAGCCACAACGAGCCAAACUGGAGUCCAGACUAGUCCCUGGCUGCACCCUCGGGCAGGAUCCCCAGGGAUCUUCUGACCCAGGCCCCCAGACUGCUUCUCCUGACAGAAACUGCCCCCCCCCCCCGGGCCUGAGCCUGGAGGGCUCUUUGCGCCAGGGGACCCUGGAUCCUCCUGUCCAUUUCUGCCCAGGGUGGGUCGACUAGCCACUGCCUAAUACACCCAGGGUUUUCUUCAUGGCUUCAUACACCACGUAGCUGAUGCCGCCUGCUGGCAACACCUUCAGUAUAAGGAUUCAGAAGCCCAAGUGCUGACAGAGGCCAAGAGGAUAAGGGAAGUGGUGUGGACUGAGCGGAGUUACAGCUUACACCCAGCAGCAGCCAGACAUCAUGCCACGGGGGUGCAGACCCCACGUGGUGGCCAGGUUUGCCAAUUUUCCAAGAGAAGCCAGACAUAGUCAUUUGUACAAAAUACCCCAACAUCAGAACAUUGGCAGCUCUACAGUUGCCCAAAAAACCGAACACCCAGUGUGGUAGGCAGAAUUCUAAGGUGGUCCCCAAGUUUCCCACCCCUGAUAUGUGCGCUCCAUAUAAUGCCCACCUCCCCUCCCACCCCGACCUUGAGAGUGUGCUAGGCUGGGACUAUGAUUGGGAAUCACUCCCCUCGUAAAGUUACAUGACAUGAAGUUACAUUUCGUGAAAGUGAAGGGAUUUUGCAGAUGUAUCGGGUCCUUAAGCAAUUAAUUUUAAGCGAAGCAAGACCAUUUGUCCUGGGUAGGCCUGACCGAAUCAGGUGAGCCCUUUAAUAAAAGAGUCUGUUGCCAGAGACAGAAGAAAUCAGAGCGAUUGGGAGUAUCCAGGACACUCUUCAGUUGGUCUUAAACAAGCUGACUGUUGUGGAGAGGACUACAUGGCAGGGACGGUGGGUGGCCUCUAGGAGCUGAGGACCCUAGUCCUACAACCAUAAACUGAAUCCUGCCAACAACCAAGGAACUUGACAGAGGACCCAGGUCUCUGGUGGGUUCAGCUGUAGCCCAGCCAACACCUUGAUUUUGGCCUGAUGAAACCCUGAGCAGAGGACCUGACUAGCCAGUGCCCAGGCGUGGCCCACAGACAAAAGAUAAUAAAUCUGUAUCCUUUUAAGCUACCGAGUCUGUGGCAAUUUGUUACGCAGCAAUAGAACACAAAUACACUUAAGAGAAAAUUUAACUAGUUAAGGGCAAGAAUUAUAUGAGGAAACUUUAAAAGACCAUUAAAGUACAUAAAAGGAGACUUGAACAAAUAGAAAUGAUCUUGGAUACCAGAGCCAGCCUCAUAGAUGGCAGGAAUCUCUAAGCUUAUUUAUAAAUUGAAUACUAUCCCAGUAAAAAAUACCAAUAGGUGACUUUGUUUUCUGAACUUACUAGAGGUAAGUUACUUUUAAAGUUUAUAUGGGAAACCACAGAGGGAGUAACCUGGAAACCGAUAAAGAAGAGCAGGGAUGGGGGAUGAGAAAGCAUAAGAUCAAGCCUCGAAAAUUAAAGACAGAGAGUAAAACUACAGGGAUGCCCAGCUGGCUCAGUCGGAAGAGCCUGUGACUCCUGAUCUCGGGAGGUGUUGGGUGUAGACACCACUUAAAUUAAUAAAAUUUUUUAAAAAGGUAAAACUAGACAAACGAUUAAUAAAAAAAAUUAAUAAAAUUUUGGGUGUAGACACCACUUAAAUUAAUAAAAUUUUUUAAAAAGGUAAAACUAGACAAACGAUUAGGGUUCAGGGGAGAGGCAAGAAGGGGUGAGUAGGUGGAGCAGAGAGGAUUUUUAGGGCAGUGAAACUAUAUGACACCCUAAUGGUGUGUACGCGUCUGUAUACAUCUGUACAAACUGCAGAAUGUACUACACCGAGAGUGAACCUAAAGGCAACUAUGGACUUUAAUAAUAAUGUAUCGAUAUUGGUUCAUCAGUUGCAACAAACGUCCCCUGCCCGCCCCUCACCACGCAGGAUAUUAAUAGCAGGAACUGUAUAUGUGGGGAGAGAUGUGUAUGGGAACUCUGUACUUCCUGCUCAAUUUUUCUGUGAAUCUAAAACUGCUGUACAGGGGCGCCUGGGUGGCUCAGUCGUUAAGCGUCUGCCUUUGGCUCAGGUCAUGAUCCCAGG
This is a long non-coding RNA of Zalophus californianus (California sea lion), 2922 nucleotides long. RefSeq lists it as uncharacterized. NCBI's taxonomy places the organism in Eukaryota, Metazoa, Chordata, Mammalia, Carnivora, Otariidae. The transcript is spliced from 3 exons. The record is from RefSeq and is a predicted model, not a curated record.